GCCGGGGUAGCCAAGCCAGGUUAAGGCGACCGCCUCGAGAGCGGUUGUCCCUUUGCGGACGCAUGGGUUCAAAUCCCAUCCCCGGCG
Molecule: transfer RNA, 87 nt
Filed under: Nitrososphaerales archaeon
Lineage: Archaea; Thermoproteati; Nitrososphaerota; Nitrososphaeria; Nitrososphaerales
Description: tRNA-Ser
Rfam family: tRNA
About the family: Transfer RNA (tRNA) molecules are approximately 80 nucleotides in length. Their secondary structure includes four short double-helical elements and three loops (D, anti-codon, and T loops). Further hydrogen bonds mediate the characteristic L-shaped molecular structure. tRNAs have two regions of fundamental functional importance: the anti-codon, which is responsible for specific mRNA codon recognition, and the 3' end, to which the tRNAs corresponding amino acid is attached (by aminoacyl-tRNA synthetases). tRNAs cope with the degeneracy of the genetic code in two manners: having more than one tRNA (with a specific anti-codon) for a particular amino acid; and 'wobble' base-pairing, i.e. permitting non-standard base-pairing at the 3rd anti-codon position.
Source: RNAcentral